UACUGGCAUAUCCUGUCCAACCCCAUCCCCCAAUAUGACUGCAUUACAAACAAGGCUAGAAAGGCAACAACAAAAUUUAAGGACCGCACUGAAGAUGAGCAGGGAAAAAAAAUACCCAUCACCAAACAAACAAAGAAAGGACACACACUCUCAGCUGUAGGAAGAGCAAAGUGCAGACCACGAAGGGCAUUUCUGGAAGGACCUCCGGGCAGAGAUGGCCAUGUUUCAGCAUGCGUAAUUGUAGAACACGUGGCUGAAACAACUCCGCUGCAGAGAAGUGCCAGGACUUCCUCCACCAACGUGUGUCUCACACACGAGUCCCUGCUGUCACAUCGAGGUGGCCAAGCUGAGGCAAGAGGAGAGCUGGGCUCCAUCUCUGUGGGUCUUAGCGAAGGGGAUGACACUGUCCACAGCUGCUGGGAGAAGGACUGCAUCAGUCUGAGCACAAAGAGCUUACGAGAACCCAUGCCUUCUGAAGCAUUCACACUUAAGGUCAUGUGUUUUCUCUGAAAACGUCUAAUAAGGAGGAAGUGUUCAAAGGAGCAGAUAAUUCACUGGCAAAUGUCAGUCUGGAGCUUCUCAGACCCCCUGAGAGGACAGAUGCUGUUAGACAGACUGACUGCUCACAAGGGACCUGGGAAAAUGGUGCUCGGGAAAAAGCAGAAUGGGAUGGGUGCCCAAGUUUGAGCCUUCAGGGAGCAAGAGUCAGCCGAAAGGCUGGACAGCAGGAGACCAGUCAUAUUAAAGGAAAACAUCACCAGGAAGGGGUCUAAGGAUUUUUCACUAAGGGCCAUGAGCCAGGACAGAGAGGUCAAAGCAUCCUCAGGGGGACCCCUGAAAGCUUUCUUAAUAAAACCCAGCCACUGUACCCCCAGAAAGAAAUAUUACUCCAAUUCUUACUGGAAAACCUGGAGGGAACUGGCAAGUUGGGGUGGGGGUCUCCACAGCUAAGCCAUACCAUGAGGCAGCCUCAGGGGAGGCCCAGUUUCACACACUUUUGCAUGUGCACAGCUCCUUUUCCCAGAGCUGACCACCUUCCCCCCUUAGCCGCGCAGCUGAUGGGUGCCAGCUCCCUGCCAGCAGGCAACAGCCCCUCCACCGGCAGCGCAGCGCUUGCUGGAGGCUUCACAGAGGCUAGUGGGCAGAUGCCACAGUGGCCGCAAUGGACCUCUCAGGGCUACUACAAGGAAGCAAGAAAAAGCUGCUGCAGGAUGCCUGUAAAGCACAGCCAGCUAUGGAGGACUUCACAGACACACCUGGACUGUUUCUUAUCCUAGUCUGUGCUUGCUCCAUUCUCAUUGCUUCACCAACGUCUCUCGCAGCAAAAAAGCCAAAUGCCUCUCAGCAGACUAUCAUAUACCCUGAUACAGUGAGUUUAUGGUCUCAGGAGGAGUUUAAACUUCUACCAUCAUCUUGUCUUCUGCAGGAGUUCCCCCAGCGACUGACAGAAAUAUAGUAACUGGUAAUGGAGCUAGCUUAAAAAAAAAAGGGGGGGGGAAGAAAAAAAAAAGAAAGGCAGGAAUGAUGGAUAGGUUUCCACAGAUUUACAGUCUUCUCCAGCAAGUUCCCACCAGAGCAAAAGGACCAUGUGAGUCAAGCUGCAACACCAUGGUCAAGUCCUUAUGGAGUCACGCAUUGAGAGCUCUGCAUCUGCUGUCACGGACAGACAAACCCCUCAACAGCGUGGCACAACUAGUGGCCAGCCCUUGUUUUUAAGCACUGUUAUCAUUCCUAUGUGGGCGUGAGCUUAGCAAGCCUCACUGCUUUUGACACAUCGUACUAAUUGUUCUGGAAAGACUAUUUCUGUUGAGCUUUUCUUAAGUCAUUUUCCUAAGUAACAGGAUGAAAUGCAGAAAGCUGGAGUUAAAAUAAAUUUGUGAGCUGGUGAAAGCUAGUGCACCGACAGCACCGAGAAAGCAGAGAGUGCUGGUGCUCACAAAAAGACCACUAGCAAGGUCUGUAGUUUCUACUUCCAUGUGACCCCAUAUGCCAUGUUUGUGUUUUCCUCACACGCACACCCCCACGCUAAUUAACAUACAUGUUUGCAAUUCUUAAAUUAAAGCAUUAGUCAAAUAUAUUAAGACUCAAAUUUGCAUGGCUUAAUCUCAUCUGGAGCUGCCAAAAGUUAAUGCUAGCAAAGGUUUUGGUAGAGAAGAAAUCUCAGCUUGCGUUUAAUUCCUAACUAUCAGGAGUUGCAGGGAGAUGUGUAGAGAGCCAGAAGGUGGUGGAGGAAGGAAAGGCUCGGGUGAGGGCACUGCCUAUAGCUGUUGUCCAGCAGAGAAGUUUGGAUUAUAGAAAGGGAUAACGAAGUCAGCUGGGACUUUUCAGCUGAAGGAAGGAGGCAGCUGAGAGGCACGUGGCACAGAUGCAUGCAGUCACAAGGGGUCUGAAAAAGGCAAAGAGCAACCAGUGAUUCACCACCUCUUUUAAUAAAACAGCCAAAGGACAUCAAAAGAAGGUAUUAGGAGUCAGCAUCGCACCAAACAGGAGAUGGUUCCUCGCACAGUUAGUAGUCAAAACCACACACCUCCCUGCAAGCAAUGUCAUGGAAACUAAAAUCCCAUGGGAGCUGAAAAGGAAGGUGAAAAAGCUCAAGGGAUAUAAAUCCACAACAUACGUAGAAAUCACAUCCUUCUGAUGAAGCUCCAAGCUGAACUCUUCCCACACAUGUGCUGACAUUCACAACCACAUACAUGCUCCUGGGCUAAACUGACCUUGGGUCCAAAGUGUGCAGCCAGACACUCUUACCUGCUCACCAGGCUUUGGCAUGGCCCUGGAUCAGGCAGACCUCAGGCUUGGUACCAUCCAGCCAGGUCCACUCCUCAGUCCUCAUCGCAAGGCGCCCUGCACCUUCACCCCAAGGAUUCACCUAAAAGCACCGGGGCACUGCAGGCUUCCCAUCCUGCUCCUAGUGCCGCGGGAUGUGCUUACCAGGAGCAGCCUCCCAGGAAGCAGUCGGGCUGGAGAGAGCAAAACUGAAAGGGUGCAGACACCAUCGGACCUGCUCUCCCCGCUCAAAGGCAGACUUCACAAAAGUUCAGUGUCUGAUGAGAGGCUCAAUUCAGAAACAAAGCAAAAGAGUUGCUGCUUAGAAAAAGGCAUGGGAACAGUGACAGAAAACGGAUGCCUUAGCAGCAGUAUCAAGCAGAUGCAGGUAAAAUUUGUUUUCAGUCUAGUCGUCCUGUUUUACACCUGCACUUGAGUUUUUCUCCCCUUAAAGAAAUGCUUGCUUUGUUGUUUGGUUGAAGUUGUUAGGAAGCAGUCAGCUGUUAUACUGAAUUAAAUGCUUUUUAUUAUGCAAAGGCUGACACUGUCUGAGCUGUAACUGCAUGAAUGUGAACAGCAUAUUAAUUCAAAGUCUGUAUGAUUACACUUUACCUUCAAAGGUCACUCAGCAUUUUCUAUUUGCCAAGUCAGUGAUUUUUGAUGUGUGCUGUGUGGACCUCUGGAUGUCGGUGCAUUAUUUCUAAGGUAUGUGCAAGAAUCGAAGCAAGCCAAUUGAAAGGUAGGCUUCAGCUCACUGCAUGAACCAUGUUCUUAGUUCUAAAACAUAAAGAUAGUAAAAAGAUCCAAAACAUUAAAAGCCACAGUGCAAGUAUUUUUCCUGAGUUAUGUCAAACAGCAUCGGGAUGGGGGUCUGAUUUAAGAAAAAUGAACAAAGAAAGCAUCUUUUAUUCAGAGAAUUCAUGUACUAGACAUCUUGCAUUUACUUUUUUUGUUCAAUCUGUUCCAAGUAUAAUUAGCAAACUGACAGACUGCUUCUUUUCAGCAAGUAGUGCGCUUCCAUCAUCUUAAGGUAAUUCAGAUGGUGGAACAAUGUUUAGACAGGCUACAGGUCUGCCCCACAUGGAUUUCAACUCCACGGAAGCUAAAAUUUGGAGAUGCCUAAGUGCCUCAUGAGCCUACCAGAAGUUACAUCUGUAUCUUUAAGCAAUUAAAUUCUUUCCCAAAGCCAAGCCAACAUCUGCUAAGACUUGAGAACUUGGAGAGCGCAUCCUUUCCCAUGUGCUGUAUAUUCUCUAUGUACAGCUAAAUAAGUGCUGUUUUUAUGGAUGGGAGUAAAGAAGGAUGGGAUAUCAGGAGAGCUCAUCUUCCUUUUUCACAUCAAUAUUACCAACAUAGUUUAAGAUAGUAUUCCAACAUGAUAAAAAUAUUCUUUGCACCUCAAGUUCAGUGAAGAGUAAAAUAAAAAAACAAACAAACAAAAAAAAACCCAUCCAAAACCCAAACCACUCUACACAAGAACUACUGGAAGAAUUUACAUUUGCAAAGGUGUGAAAACCUGCAUUUCCUGGGUGGCAAGGGCAAACUGUAGUGCUAUAACACAGUGACAGAGCAUGCAAAAAGAGGGAUAUAUCUCCCUCUGACUUAGACGUAGCUCAUUGACCCUGCAUGAAUAUUUCAUAUCACAUAUUUAAAUUAAUUUUACAGCUUUCACCUAAAUUGUUCUUUCUGAAUCUUUAAUAGAUUUAACGGAAGUUUUUCAGAUCAGAAAUUGACUGAAGUUUGAUCUGGGACAUCUCCCCAGCACAACUGAGGCAGAAGCUACAAGUCACUCCAACAAAUUUCACGUAAGCCUCCUGCUGUGCAAGCACUGGGGGGCUGAAAAGAUGCUGUUGCAAGAGCAGACCGCUUACUUCCUAAGCAAGUGCAAGUUAAGAGUGCCCACGCCAGCAUCCUCAGUCAGCUGUGGCCCCACAAACAGACAGGAACCACCAGGCAGUUUCAGACACGGCAGGAAAGCAGAAGACACCAAAGGUGAUACAUCCCCCGCAAGCAGCACAACAUAGGCCAGCUGGCACUAGUGUCCCACUGUUGAGGAAGUCAAUACUUCUUCUUUUUUCCUCAUUAGGCCACAGCGAGUCCACAGACAAGAAAGCUGAUGAAAACCAGAACUCACUGGUACUAGAAUUUGUUUUCUCUUGAGAAAAGGGCUUUCCUGGUAAGGGUUCUUCCUUUAGUGCUGAAAUGCAGCCAUAUCCCAGGCUUAAGCACAUCUUGCCAUCACAUUUGGCAUUUGUUCAGCCUGGGAGAUGCUGUUAUUACCCCAAUGACACUUCCUGUUUGAAAACUGUUGUAAAAAAAUAAUGAGUACGCUUUGGAGAUAAGCCACCUCUUCCACUGUGCCAUUUCACGCUCAGAAGAGAGAGCAAGACCCAUUCAUCACUUGUGCAAAAAGGGAGGCUUGCACUGCGUAAUCUGUGCUGUUUGGGUUAUUUUCUCACUGCUCCCAAACUACUGUAUCACAGACUCAAGACAAUGCCCUCUUAUUCAGCCAUUUCAUCAGGUGUCCAAAAAAUUCCUGUAGCUGUACCGUGAAGCACUUGGCAAGCAUGAUAGUGACCGGAGUGCUUCUGCCUUAGCAGCCCACCCUCAAAACCCAGCUCCAGCCUGGUCUCCUUAGGCUUAGCCCAGUGGUUGCGGCACUGAAAAUCUUUUUGUAUAGUUACCAAAGCAAGCCAGAGCAAACACCACGCACUUCCCACCAAUGGAGCUGGUGGCUGAGGCACUAGGUGGAGGUGGAAAUACAGAGCUCCCACUUUGACUGACAGCUUGAUCCCUGACGGACAGCUUGAUCCAGUGCCCCAGCAGGUUUGUUUGCUUACAGCAUCCAGGAAGUACAGUCAAUCCAAGAGCAAUUCAAGCUUCAAGGCCUAGAUAAUACCUGAGCUCCUCUGACUCCCAAUUCAACCCUGUAGCAACCUAGCCUGCACCCAGAGGGCUAGCUUUCACCCCACCCUGCUUUUAAGCCCCAUCCAUGACCCGCUUUGCUCAUCUCUUAAUGCAGAGAAUAAAUGCUUGGAUGCAUUAGCAUCCCAGGAGCCUGUGGUCUCUGACAAGAGCUGGCACAACAGCAAGGGACAUCUCAAAGCAAGGAGGGGCUGUACUCAGAAAAAGCAUCUGGAAACAUACUGCAGAAGCGUACUUCAAACAGUGCCAUUACUGAGAGGAACAGGACACUUCCAGAUGGACUGAAAGUGUGGGGCAGGCACUUAGAGCUGGUCUCAAAUAGCUUUUCCAUCCCAUGGAAGUGAACAAUUUCUAUGCCCCACCAACCUCACCUCAGUGCAAACAGAAAAAAGGGACUGGAAACAGCCUCUGUUACCAUGGGUGCCAGAGGCAGGAAUCCCUUCAAGAAGAGAUUCAGAUAUUUAAGACACAAAUUGCUCAAGACAUAAACUUGUUCAUCUGCAGCUCCACUUCUCCACAUGGUGAUAAUCCGGAGGAGCUCUCUAUCACACAUCUCUCCUCCCAGACAAAAUUCCAAAGAGAAGGACCCACACACAGUUUUACAACCCACUAGGAUGUGAUGAAACCCCUAGGCCAGAGAGUGGGUCUGGGUGGGAGAGACAGAGAAUCUCUGCUCCGCCAGACGCUGCCUUCCGUUAGGAACCAGCUGCAAGGAAACAUCCCUUGAUGGAGAACAGGUGGCAUGUGCUGCUGAGCGCAGGGAUGCCGCUCCCAACUCUUCUGGCCGAGCCCACAAACCUUGCACCUCUAGCAGCUGCUGCACCCCGGCGCCCACGUCGCAGAGCUGACAUGGAGGGGGAUACUCUGGAUGGUGGCUGACUGUCCCGACCUUUGAGUUUUGGCAGCAGUUCACAGGUUUGCCAAAGCUCAGCUGGAGCACAGCAGCUUGACAGAUGGCUCUCCAGUACCCUGGGGACCCACCUGAUCUUACUCUCCAGGUGCUGUUCCCUCCCUCCCUUGUGCUCCCUUCCCUCAGCGACUACAUUGUACUACCUCUAAAUUAUCUUUAAAUCAGUACCCAGCAGUACCCCAGACUCUUGCUCUCUCUCAGGACCCUUACAACUAAACAGAGGAACCCUGCAAAGAAACACAUGCAACACCUCAGAAAAAAAACACCCUGGCACCCAGGUCUGCCAGCCUGUCCCUCCAUGGAGCAGGGAUUGUUUCAAGCAAUCGGUUCUAUUGCAUGCUCAACGACAGUUUAUCAGCUGUGGCCAAAACAUCCUUCCUCUUGACAGCAGCGUGCGGAGUGUGACUUGUGCUGCCCCCACCACCAGCCCCAAGGCUGAAGCUCCCAGCACUUGGCUCAGAGUACACCCACAGAAACAACCACUUGUCUGCAGAGAUGCUCCGUGGCACCGGUCCACAGUAGUCCCGCAGACAGACUGCCGCUUCAUCCCACAGGAAUCAAACCCCAAACCAUCUCUUAGAUCAAAGCUGCAAAAAUAACUGCCAAACUUUCCUGCUAUGAUGGGCAAGAAUAGAAAGGUCCAUUUUGGGGGGGGGAGACAGGGAGGGGAAACACUCUGAAUGACAUCCAGGUCUCAGCUAUACAACUUCACAACAGCAAAGAAAUGAAUGCUGAAAGAAAACCCAUGAGCGUGUUCCUUAGGAUCCUCACUGCUCUUUUCCUUCUCAAUUUGAUGUCACAGAAAUGGCAACAGUAAAUCAGAUAAUGUGCUCAAGCACCAAUAACACCCCUUUCACACAGUUCACUGGAAGGUCUCUUGCACUGUCACGUUUCUGAGCACGCAGUCACAUUGUUAGGAUUUCUCUAACCAGGAACUCCGCAAGUCAUCCUUUUUAAUGAAAGCGGGGUUUCCCUGUCGGAAGCUGUGCUUUAGAAAAUACCCCCAGAUCUCAUGGGCCCAGUUACAGGAGUUAGCUACACAAGCAGCUGACAGACUGGAGAAAGAAGGAACUUAGUUUCUGUAUUUUCAGCACAUUUGUGUCAUGUUUAGUAGCAAUUGAAAGCUUUUUUUUUUUUUUUAACCCAGCAAAGUUGAGGAUAGGUUUUCUGGACCAAGAACCAGGACUUGCUAAACACCUGAGGUUUGCUCCUUUUCCCCUGGAAAAGAAAGCUGCAUGUUAGGUGAAAGGCAAGGCUGUUCCAGCUGGUUUCCUGUUAGGAAAGGCUUUGGACAGUCCUGGUGGCAGAAGUGCAUCGCCAUGAAGUCACCGACAUAAGUGUACCACACCCGGACACAGCAGCACCUCUGCGGCUGAGGAGGAAAGCGUAGCCCUGACUUGCUCCCCAUCGGCCUUCCAGCUCACCACUGGAGCCAUGAUCACUGCCAGCACGGGGCGACCUCAGCCUUUCAGUUCUCCAGCACCAAAAAAAUAAAUACAUUUAAAAAAAUCAAUUUCUAGCAAGGUAAAGGUAAAUCCAGGCAUCAAGCAUGAUGCAUCCUGGCCUGGAGCUUUCUCUGUCUGGCAGUAAGACAGAGGUGGCAGCACCAUCCCUCUGCUCUUCAGGCUCAUCUGGAGGCUCCAUCCAGCAGCAUCUCCCCAUGCUCCUCCCAAUAGGGCUGCGGCACACAGAGCUUACGCGGCUCCUCCUGACCCGAACCCCUCUUUCUCACUACCUGCACAUCCAUACUUACCCAAGCAGCGCUGCUCCUGCUUUCUACCCAUGCCACCCUGCGAGAGACUGCACUGCCUCCAUCGCCCGGGUGCCUCAGGCCUGGCGUACCCUCUAUCUCCGAAGGCAUCCCGCCCUUUCCCUACAGCUUCCCCUCUCCCCAUCCCAAGCCUCCCGCUGGCUCCACAGCACCACAAGCCAUGCUCGCCCACGCAUCCCAGGAGCAGCACAGGAUCUGCCUCCUGCCAUGCUCAGCAGCCCUCCACUCCAGUCAUUUCUGUCCUCUGGGAACAGUUGGACGAAAACCUGCCUUUCCAUCCCCCAAAACAGUUGGCACAGGUCCUGAAGAGGUCCCUGCACAGGCCUGCAGGCACUGCCUUGUCCGCCUCUGCCUGUGUGCCAGGGCUGAGCCCAGCACCCACAGGAGCAGCACGUCCCUGUGAUGCAGCCCCGUGCCCAUCCAUCCAUGGCCGACAUGCACCGUGGACCGCAGUGCCCCAGCAGGGCAGGGUGACGUGCUGGAGGGCUUCACCCCUCUCCCCCAGCCAGGGCUGCGAUGCCAAGCACGUUUCAGCCGCAGCAGGGUUUUGUCCCAUCUGUUUCAGGCGCCUUGAAGGCCCCAAGGAGCCAGUGCAGGGCCACAGGCUGCAGAUUCCCCAUCUGUGCCACAUCUGAGCUGGCUAACGCAGCGGAAAAAAGAAACCACCCAGCGCCUGGGUCUCUGAGGAGGUGAUGUGCUCUGCUCCCUCCUCCCCUGCAGGGCUGAGGUAAUGCCGCUGCAGGCCAGGAGGCAGCUGGGAGAAAAAGCCGGGUUUGAGGGAAGGGUCAGUGCUGCCCCUUGCAAAGCAACUGCCCAUCGCCCAGCCCUGGGCACCUGCGUGGCAGCUGCGGCCGCCGCUCUUCAAUUUAGUUUUUUUCCCCCAUUUGUGUUCCGUUGUGAAGAGUUUGACCUUUUCUCUCCAAUCCAGGCAUGUGGCCUGAGUCACCCAGGCAUUUAGGCUGCCAGGAAUAUGCUCUGUGCCCCAGGACUGGGAGAGGAGAGCAUUUGCUAGUCUGGGGAAGGGUGAUCCUGCAAGCCUCUGCCACGCUGGCAUCUAGCUGUUGGUUUGCUUCACUGCAAACGAGGGUGAUGGGGUUUGGCACCACCCGUCCUGAGAUUUGCACAAGGGAAGGCGGUAUUUCUUAACACCAUCGAUCAUCGCUUUCUGCACAAGGGCCAUAUUAAAUCCCAAAACAUUACUGCGAACAGGCAAUCAGCAGAGAAAUGGGUUGGUUUCAGGGCAUUUAUGAAGGAAAUCUGUAUUCUUUGUCCAAAGGCUUGAUUUAAGUUUUCCAGUUAGUUAUAUCAAAAAAAUGAUUGCAGCAAAAGCUGACACAAAAACUGGCGGCUUGCUAGGUAGUUGUGAGGGCUUGUCACAUCUACAGAGCGCUCCGAAUUGCUUAAGGAUUUAAGUUCGAGCAUACAGCCUGUAUUUUGACACAGCCCAACCUAGAGUGAAAAAGAAAGAAGGGACAGACCCAGGCACCCACCAGUCAGCCCCUGUGAAGACGGUAAUCAGUCAGCUCUGCAGGAAUGUCCAGCCUGGUUCCAUGGCUAAGUUGCUCCAAUUCUGCUGGCCAAGGGCAGUGGUGGGGAGCAGGGAGCCAACACCAGGCAGGCGACCCGGCUGUGGCCUGGGCUAUGUGAACAGGGCAUGGGAAAGCGGAGGCGACACCAUAAGUUGCUGGCCGUGGCGGAUAGCAGUGUGAAAGCACCACGGAUCUCACAGCUGGGGUAAGCAGGAGCUGUGUGAGAAGUGGCCAAACUGCACAGGCAGUUGCUGGGGUUAUUCCGGGGAGCAGAACCUAGCAGGACCAUUGGUGCGCCACUAAUCCUAUGAGCUGAGGCUGCCUUGGUAACGGUAUUGAAAACACGAAGUUUGGGUACGCCAUGCAGCAAAACUGGGACCCAAGGCAAAACAGUAAUUAUGGUGGAUUGCUUGUUUGCAAGGAGACUUGGGUGGAAAAUGGCAGGUCAAGAAACAGGAAAAUGGGUAAGUUACACAGUGCCAAGGGGCCUCCAAGCUGUGCCCAUCGAGCAGCCCCACACUUCAUCACGAGAGUGCGAGCAGAGCAGCAAAAUAAACCCAUUUUUCUGGUCAUACCACGUGGAUCAAACCUGCCUUUGGUCACAACAUGGUACCACAGCAUGCUUUCCCUUGCCAGGAGGGCAGCACCUGGGUGGAGGCGUGGAUUGAGCAUCACAGCAUUUCUGUGUCAGUGCCUGUUCCAGGCAGCUGGCACCAGCCUCUUCCCACCACAUCUUAAGACAAACGUUAAUUAUCUGGGUCAAAAAUUCACAGCUGAAAAUACCAUCUCUCAUCAGCCCAUCUCCUCAGGAGAAAAAAAAAAAGCGGGGGGAGCAUAUCCUAAUCAGUGGUCUGUAAAGAAUAACCAAUGCAUAAACUCUGUAAUCGUUUGCCUAGAAAGCCGCUCUCUUGCGUAUUAUUCUCCUCUCGCAGGGAGAUGAGAGGAGUACAGGAAACUCACUUCCAGUUUAUUCCUCCUCAUUCAAAAGGCAGAAAACCACAU
Long non-coding RNA from Chroicocephalus ridibundus (black-headed gull), 10903 nucleotides. RefSeq lists it as uncharacterized. The transcript has 4 exons. The record is from RefSeq and is a predicted model, not a curated record. Lineage: Eukaryota; Metazoa; Chordata; Aves; Charadriiformes; Laridae.